Long non-coding RNA from Camelus dromedarius (Arabian camel), 835 nucleotides. RefSeq lists it as uncharacterized. The record is from RefSeq and is a predicted model, not a curated record. The transcript is spliced from 2 exons. NCBI's taxonomy places the organism in Eukaryota, Metazoa, Chordata, Mammalia, Artiodactyla, Camelidae.
GCUAAGAUAGGAUGAGAAGUUGUGUUGGAGAAGUCUGGUCCUGCAGGGCCCAGGGGCCACACCCACCUUCUCCCAAUAACCCGCAUGGACCAGGACAAACUCCUGCUCCACCCCGAGUCCAACGCGACGCUCGGCCCAAGCCUUCCGGUGGGAACAGCACGCAGGAGUGUCUGCAUCAGCCUGGGAGGUGCAAGGGGAAAAUGAACAAUCUGUGGAAUCAGAAACGUGAAACAAGCCCCCAAGACUAUGACCUCGCCCCCAGACUGUGGACCUUGAGAAGUUAAGCCCCCAGAAGGCUGCAACCAAGUAUGAUAACAGUCCUACUCUGCGAUGCUGGCCCCAGGGGGGGACCCUGGGUCAAAGGCAGCCUGUCCACUUGGCUCCACAGCCUAGAAGUCAUUCCCAGUCCAGCAAACCCUCAUACGGCCAUAAAAGGCCCUGCUCUUCUUCCCAGCCCAGGUACCUCAGAGAGCCUGGAUGAGCUGCUCAGUCUCCCAGGGUCCGAAGGACUUGGCUGCGGGGCUGGAAACCACAGUCCAGCUCAGCUCCUCUCCUGCUCCCCCUGCUGCCACGUGCAGCUGCCAAACUGUACUCAUUUCCCUGGGCAAGACCUCCCCUGCCUUCCACUCCCACGGUCAGUGGCAGGCCAGCCACUCCAGCCUGCCCACACAGACGCCCUGCUGCACCAGCUUCCCGUGACAACACCCUGGCAUGCCACUUCCCUCCGCCUUUCUUGCCUCCCAACCAAAAACAUUCGUUACAAAAACCACACACUCCCCCGCUUAACACUUACCCACACACUCUCCAAGGUCCUGCUCAGUCGCCAGCUUCUCAC